RNAcentral lists this ribosomal RNA (406 nucleotides) under uncultured bacterium. RNAcentral's name for it is "partial 16S ribosomal RNA". It matches the Rfam family "Bacterial small subunit ribosomal RNA", at positions 30 to 526 of the family's 1533-position model. The record is from RNAcentral.
AUUGAACGCUGGCGGCAGGCCUAACACAUGCAAGUCGAACGAGUGGCGGACGGGUGAGUAAUGUCUGGGAAACUGCCUGAUGGAGGGGGAUAACUACUGGAAACGGUAGCUAAUACCGCAUACCAUCGGAUGUGCCCAGAUGGGAUUAGCUAGUAGGUGGGGUAAAGGCUCACCUAGGCGACGAUCCCUAGCUGGUCUGAGAGGAUGACCAGCAACCCUGGAACUGAGACACGGUCCAGAGUCCGACGGGAGGCAGCAGUGGGGAAUAUUGGACAAUGGGCGAAAGCCUGAUCCAGCCAUGCCGCGUGUGUGAAGAAGGUCUUCGGAUUGUAAAGCACUUUAGGUUGGGAGGCGUUACCAACAGAAUAGGCACCGGCUAACUUCGUGCCAGCAGCCGCGGUAAUUC